GAUAUAGGCCGUCUUAUCGUCCCGUCCCGAUAGCUAUCGGGAUCGGGAAGGAAAGUCCGGGCACCAUAGGGAAGCAUAGCGGCUAGCGGCCGUCACCCUGUAGCAUGUGCUACAGGGGAGGACAAGUGCAACAGAAAGAAUGUACAGGUAAUGCUGUAGUGAAAUCAGGUAAACUCUAUGCGGUGAAAUGCCACGUAUAUCUGCGCUUAAGGGUUCCCGCCCAAUGCAGAAGGGUAGGCAGAUUGACCCCGAUAGUAAUGUCGGGGCUAGAUAAAUGAUAAGAACCCGUUUAAACGGGCACAGAACCCGGCUUAUAGGCCUAUAUCUUUU
Molecule: RNase P RNA, 330 nt
Filed under: Roseivirga pacifica
Lineage: Bacteria; Pseudomonadati; Bacteroidota; Cytophagia; Cytophagales; Roseivirgaceae
Description: Bacterial RNase P class A
Rfam family: Bacterial RNase P class A
About the family: Ribonuclease P (RNase P) is a ubiquitous endoribonuclease, found in archaea, bacteria and eukarya as well as chloroplasts and mitochondria. Its best characterised activity is the generation of mature 5'-ends of tRNAs by cleaving the 5'-leader elements of precursor-tRNAs. Cellular RNase Ps are ribonucleoproteins.
Source: Rfam by way of RNAcentral